GAUGAAGAACGCAGCGAAAUGCGAUAAGUAAUGCGAAUUGCAGAAUUUCCGUGAGUCAUCGAAUCUUUGAACGCACAUUGCGCCCCUUGGUAUUCCAUGGGGCAUGCCUGUUCGAGCGUCAUUUGUACCUUCAAGCUUUGCUUGGUGUUGGGUGUUUGUCCUGAGGGACUCGCCUUAAAGUAAUUGGCAGCCAGUGUUUGGUUUUGAAGCGCAGCACAAGUCGCGAUUCAAAGCUAUACGCCCGCUUCCACAAGCCUUUUUCACUUUUGACCUCGGAUCAGGUAGGGAUACCCGCUGAACUUAAGCAUAUCAAUAAGCGGAGGA
This 324-nucleotide unclassified non-coding RNA is filed under the name soil metagenome. Its description in RNAcentral is "partial contains 5.8S ribosomal RNA, internal transcribed spacer 2, and large subunit ribosomal RNA". The stretch from base 1 to 121 matches the Rfam family "5.8S ribosomal RNA", at positions 35 to 154 of the family's 154-position model. The record is from RNAcentral.